UUGCGGCGUGCUUAACACAUGCAAGUCGAACGGAAAGGCCCUGCUUUUGUGGGGUGCUCGAGUGCCGAACGGGUGAGUAACACGUGAGUAACCUGCCCUUGACUUUGGGAUAACUUCAGGAAACUGGGGCUAAUACCGGAUAGGAGCUCCUGCUGCAUGGUGGGGGUUGGAAAGUUUCGGCGGUUGGGGAUGGACUCGCGGCUUAUCAGCUUGUUGGUGGGGUAGUGGCUUACCAAGGCUUUGACGGGUAGCCGGCCUGAGAGGGUGACCGGCCACAUUGGGACUGAGAUACGGCCCAGACUCCUACGGGAGGCAGCAGUGGGGAAUAUUGCACAAUGGGCGGAAGCCUGAUGCAGCAACGCCGCGUGCGGGAUGACGGCCUUCGGGUUGUAAACCGCUUUCGCCUGUGACGAAGCGUGAGUGACGGUAAUGGGUAAAGAAGCACCGGCUAACUACGUGCCAGCAGCCGCGGUGAUACGUAGGGUGCGAGCGUUGUCCGGAUUUAUUGGGCGUAAAGGGCUCGUAGGUGGUUGAUCGCGUCGGAAGUGUAAUCUUGGGGCUUAACCCUGAGCGUGCUUUCGAUACGGGUUGACUUGAGGAAGGUAGGGGAGAAUGGAAUUCCUGGUGGAGCGGUGGAAUGCGCAGAUAUCAGGAGGAACACCAGUGGCGAAGGCGGUUCUCUGGGCCUUUCCUGACGCUGAGGAGCGAAAGCGUGGGGAGCGAACAGGCUUAGAUACCCUGGUAGUCCACGCUGUAAACGGUGGGUACUAGGUGUGGGGUCCAUUCCACGGGUUCCGUGCCGUAGCUAACGCUUUAAGUACCCCGCCUGGGGAGUACGGCCGCAAGGCUAAAACUCAAAGGAAUUGACGGGGCCCCGCACAAGCGGCGGAGCAUGCGGAUUAAUUCGAUGCAACGCGUAGAACCUUACCUGGGUUUGACAUGGAUCGGGAGUGCUCAGAGAUGGGUGUGCCUCUUUUGGGGUCGGUUCACAGGUGGUGCAUGGCUGUCGUCAGCUCGUGUCGUGAGAUGUUGGGUUAAGUCCCGCAACGAGCGCAACCCUUGUUCACUGUUGCCAGCACGUUAUGGUGGGGACUCAGUGGAGACCGCCGGGGUCAACUCGGAGGAAGGUGGGGAUGACGUCAAGUCAUCAUGCCCCUUAUGUCCAGGGCUUCACGCAUGCUACAAUGGCUGGUACAGAGAGUGGCGAGCCUGUGAGGGUGAGCGAAUCUCGGAAAGCCGGUCUCAGUUCGGAUUGGGGUCUGCAACUCGACCUCAUGAAGUCGGAGUCGCUAGUAAUCGCAGAUCGGCAACGCUGCGGUGAAUACGUUCCCGGGGCUUGUACACACCGCCCGUCAAGUCAUGAAAGUUGGUAACACCCGAAGCCGGUGGCCUAACCGUUGUGGGGGAGCCGUCGAAGGUGGGACUGGUGAUU
RNAcentral lists this ribosomal RNA (1432 nucleotides) under uncultured organism. RNAcentral describes it as "partial small subunit ribosomal RNA". It matches the Rfam family "Bacterial small subunit ribosomal RNA". The record is from RNAcentral.